CCUACGGGAGGCAGCAGUGAGGAAUAUUGGACAAUGGGCGCGAGCCUGAACCAGCGAAGCAGCGUGAAGGAUGACGGCCCUACGGGUUGAAAACUUCUUUUAUAAAGGAAUAAAGUGAGGCACGUGUGCCUUUUUGUAUGGACUUUAUGAAUAAGGAUCGGCUAACUCCGUGCCAGCAGCCGGGGUAAUACGGAGGAGCCGAGCGUUAUCCGGAUUUAUUGGGUUGAAAGGGAGCGUAGAUGGGUUGUUAAGUCAGUUGUGAAAGUUUGCGGCUAAACCGUAAAAUUGAAAUUGAUACUGGCAGUCUUGAGUACAGUUGAGGUAGGCGGAAUUCGUGGUGUAGCGGUGAAAUGCUUAGAUAUCACGAAGAACUCCGAUUGCGAAGGCAGCUUACUGAACUGCCACUGACAUUGAUGCUCGAAAGUGUGGGGAUCAAACAGGAUUAGAUACCCGUGUAGUC
RNAcentral lists this ribosomal RNA (460 nucleotides) under uncultured bacterium. Its description in RNAcentral is "partial 16S ribosomal RNA". It matches the Rfam family "Bacterial small subunit ribosomal RNA", at positions 338 to 795 of the family's 1533-position model. The record is from RNAcentral.